CCAAGCAGCAAGUGUAAUUGAAGGGAAAUGCUCUAUCCAGAUACCAAGAGGACUAGUCACGAGACCAGGCCUCAAAACAGGAAAAUGGUUCCAAUGGAGAAGUAGAGUAUGAGUCAAGAAUUGAGAGAUGAGCAAUAUACAUUAGCAUUAUAAAACACUAAAGAAAGUAUACAUGCCUAGAGCCUCUGAGGCACACUACAAAGAAGAUGACCUGAAAAGUGACUGCUUACAGGGUCCACAUAUAGGUGACAUGAAAGUUCCCUCAGCCUUGUCAGUAUGAAUGAGCCUGUAAAGUGAAGAUGAAUGAGAAAGGGAUUAGAUGAGUCAUCUGAGUCUGUAAGGCCCUUGCAACAAGAGCAUGAAGAUGAUAAAAGAGGACAGAAAGGGAACAAGUUGGGUGAAAAGAAAACAAUGAAUUAGGGUGAAAAGAUCAAGCCAGUGACCAAACUCUCUACAACUAGAAAAGACUUAUCAGUUUCUCAUGAAUUCGAAGUUGUUUUAACAUUAGAAAAUCAACUGAUGUGAUUCAGCACAUUUACUGAAUAUUAUGAUGACCUGGGCAGAGUCAGAAAAGACAACUGACAAAAUUCAGAUCCUGUUGAGAUAAAUAUUAGCAAACAACCUAGAAAAUCAAGCAUUAUAUUUAAUGGUGAAACAUUAAACAUUUCCUUCUGAGACUUGGAAUGGACAAGGAUGACAUCAUUACUUCUAUUCAACGUUGUACUGAAGGCCCCAGACACUACAGUAAGACAAAAACAGAAUGGAAGAUAAAAGGAUUGGAAAGAAAGAAACCAAACUGUCAUAACUCACAGAUCAGGUAGUGGCUAUAUGCAUACUGGCUUUGUAAUCGUUGCUUAAGCCGUAUUUGUGCUGUGCAUUUUUUAUUAACUCCUAUGCAUCGCCAGGACCCUGAAGGUGUCAUACUCUUCCUGACAGGACCUACCAGCUUGACGGAGAGCUCUAUCCCCAUUUCCUAAAGAAGAAACCUGAUCCUUGGAAAUGUUCAGUGGCUGCCCCAAGAUGUCGGCACAACCUCUUGUGCUCUUGCCUCCUGCCACAAGAACAUAUGUCCCAGAAAAGGGCCACUCCAUCAGCCUAGGUCCAGAAAUGAGAGGACACAUGGACUGAACUUGAAGAUGGCCCACAGCAGACCUGCAGUCAACUCUCAGCCUUUAUGUAAUGCGGGAAAGAAGGAAAUGUGAAUAUUAUAGACUACUAAAAUUCUAAAGUUGUAACAUAGCAAAAUGAUCGAUACAAUUAGCAGUGGCAAUCAGUCUAGCAUAUUGUCAUGCUAUAUGCAUGCUAUAAAACUAUUGAACAAAAAUAUCACUAUCCUAUCAUGGACACAUUGGACUUUUCUUUUCUCCUUAUGACUGCAUCACGUGUGAUGAUCAGAAAUGGAGUGAAGACAGAAAAAUAAGAAAAUUCAAGAAUGUGCUACAGAGUGAUCCUCUCCCUCUUAGAGCACCCACAGAAACCACUCAUGGCUUCUCUGUCUGCAUCCUCUCCACACAAACAUAUUCUUUAAGGUACCAGCCCCAUAUCACAUACCUGUAUGUCAGCCCAUAAUAGGCCUUACCUUAGAAGCCAAAGAUCCAUAACUACACAGUAUUCAUGUUGUAUAAUGUGGAGCAGCACCAAAAAAUAAAGUGGCAGACAAUAAUGCCUAUGACUAAAGUGACCCCUUGAUCCCCUCCCAAAGCAGUCUCCAUAUCAUAACUGUCAAUUGUAAAAAUAGUAUGUAUUUUAUAUAUUCUCCCUAAUAGGUAACUCUGUAUUUUAAAAUCUUAGGCUCCAAGUUUUAAUCUACUUCGUCCCAUCGGAGUACUUUUUUUCAAUUUUCUCAUUUACAAGGCCAUUUUUAUUUUUGCCUCACUCUGUGCUGAUGGCCCCAGAUCUACUCAGUCAGUUUCUUCUCUUCUAUGAUGUCUAUAUUCAGACACCUAGGAGAUUGACAACUCCUAGAAAUACCACUCACUCAACUGCUCCUUUCCCCUUCUUUCGUACUUGGGCAUAAACUUUACUGUAUCUUAAACACAUCUUCCUAAAUGCCUCACGACUAUGAUAAACUUGACAUGCUUACAACUGAGGGGAUCUUGUCC
Molecule: long non-coding RNA, 2102 nt
Organism: Homo sapiens (human)
Lineage: Eukaryota; Metazoa; Chordata; Mammalia; Primates; Hominidae
Exons: 5
Source: RefSeq, marked validated